ACUCGACCAAGCGAGUAUAAAAAGUCUUUAGGCUUGGUGCGUUGCUCCCCCUGUGGGGGCAGGUAGUA
RNAcentral lists this ribozyme (68 nucleotides) under unclassified sequences. Its description in RNAcentral is "pistol ribozyme". It matches the Rfam family "Pistol ribozyme". The record is from RNAcentral.